CACAGUAGCACAGGAACAGAGCGAGAGGGAGAGAAAGACUCAGGGACAACAACGUCACAUUAGAAAGACACCCUGUAUUUUUCCUCACUACUUUACAUCGGCCCUUGAGAGCAUAACACUGCGUUCAUCAGCAUCGCAAAGCUAACAGCGUUCUUUUUAACAUGGACAUCAUAUAUGGAGCUCGACACAACGGGACACCCCACGUUCCACUUACACAAGGAUCACAAAGCUAUAUUGGGCAAACUACACCUCUAAAAAACACAAGGGUCAAUAAGUUGUCCAGAAAAACCUGCAGAAGCGGGAGCAAUAAGACCAAGCCUUACGUUAGAAGCCGCUGGAGAGGACGCGGAGACCAUGGUAAAAAGCUUCAUCAAAACCCACCUGAAGCUGCAGGAGGACAUGGUGAAGAAUAUCGCCUUCAAUAGAGUGCAUCGCAUUGGCCCCAUCUGGGCUGCGACCGGGAGACCACGUCCUAUUGUGGCCAAAUUCGGCCACUUCAAACAAAAGGAACAGGUGAAAAGUCGCAGCAGGAAAUUAAAAGGAACUGACUUCAGUGUAAACAACCAGUUCCCAAAAGAGAUCCUGGAACGACGGCGGGUCCUCUUCCCAAUCCGAUGAGGAUUCAUCCAGAAGGG
Molecule: long non-coding RNA, 635 nt
Organism: Oreochromis aureus
Lineage: Eukaryota; Metazoa; Chordata; Actinopteri; Cichliformes; Cichlidae
Source: Ensembl